ACAGAGGCCUCGAGCGUUAGGCGGAAUCACUGGGCUUGAAGCGUGUGUAGGCGGAGUGCUAAGUACCUUGUGAAAUCCCACGGCUUAACCGUGGAAUUGCUUGGUAUACUGGCAUUCUUGAGCCAUCUAGGGGCGAGCGGAACAGACGGUGGAGCGGUGAAAUGCGUAGAUAUCGUCUGGAACGCCAACGGUGAAAACAGCUCGCUGGGGAUGUGCUGACGCUGAGACACGAAAGCCAGGGGAGCAAACGGGA
Molecule: ribosomal RNA, 253 nt
Filed under: uncultured prokaryote
Description: partial 16S ribosomal RNA
Rfam family: Bacterial small subunit ribosomal RNA
Source: RNAcentral